RNAcentral lists this long non-coding RNA (4067 nucleotides) under Capsicum annuum. RNAcentral describes it as "long non-coding RNA (CANN_LNC004352)". The record is from RNAcentral. Lineage: Eukaryota; Viridiplantae; Streptophyta; Magnoliopsida; Solanales; Solanaceae.
AGCCAUGAGGCCCCAAACGCACUCCCAAGUGUACAUGACAUAAAGAAAAAGAUGAUGAGAAGGAUUAGAAACUCGAACUUAAAUAGUAUAAGUAUUAAGGAGAUAUACAAUCUGAGACUAUAGAAUGAUUCAAAGUUCCAGUUUGAUGAGCAAACGGAAGAAGUAAAUUCAAAUUUGAACCUAGUAAACUAGAUGAGCUAACUGCUGUGAUAUGGCAGACAAGAAACAGAGUGCAACACUAAAUCAGAUUACAGCUUAAAAAUAAGAAGAAUAAAACCUAACUAUCUCAAACAAACACCUAAAAAAUGGCACUGACAUCUUAAACAAAUCAGAAGAAAAUGUCCCCUCAAGUCUAAUCCUUAAUGGAAAUUCAUGUUGAUUAUUUGCAACCAUUUAUCACGGUGAAGGGAGGGUGAACAGAUGAUGAAAAUACUUGAUCAGACUAUUCAGGUUUUAAAAAAAAUGAACAAAGCAUAGAGCUUACAAGCUAAAACUGAACGCUUGGCGUAAAUAUGAGAGCUCAUUUCAAUUUUAAAACACAUCAUGGAUGCUAAAGAGAUAUAUGGCAUAUCGUAAUAAAAUAAGCAAACAAACACUUAGAAGGACGCAAGAGACAGACUUAGUGUUUCAACUCGAAGGUAUUUUUAAGAUUCAUUCUAGGCCAAGAGAAAACGAAUUAAAAAAUUCGACUAGCUCGGCCACAAUCUUACACAAAUAGCUAUAAAUUUAAAUGAACUUUGCACAAAUUACUUCAAAGUUAUUCUUGUGAUUCAACAAAUCUGGGAAUUUAAAUGACCAAACUUACCCAUAAAUCUGGAAAAAUUAUAGAGCUAACUACAAGCCAAACUAAAAUACUACUUCCUUUGUUGUAUUCUCAAAAUUUCCACUUGAGGACAUUUGAUCUUUCAUGGAUUGAUGGAGUCCACAAAUAAUAGAUUAAGACCUAGUUAAAAACGAUGACACUUUCUUUACAAGAACCUUUUUGCUUGAAAGGAAAACAUGGCAGUUAAUUAUACACAAACACGGUCAUUUGGUUAAAAAUAUAAAAGGGAGAAUAUUCCAUGUUCUUUGCAAAAGUGUUUAAAGCUAACAUAUGCAUAGUUUAAAAUGGAGAUGUACUUCACCCGAUUUGAUGGUUAAAAUUAGUGCGUGUAAGAGAGAGUUCGCAGGGAUCCAUUCGAAGAGUCUUUAGAAAAGGAACGUGUUAAGAUUGUGUCAAAAUGAUAAAUACAAGUUGAUCAAACAUAAUACUCACGGGAAGUUGACGUAUCUUAUGCCAAUCUUUGAUGACAAGAAUAAGCUAAACAAACAUCUUUUGUAAGGGAAUAAAAAGAAAUAAAGACAGGGGUUAACUGUUGGGUUCAUAGUAUAUGAAAAAAGUGUGAAUGAAAAAAUAGAGAAUAAAAUGGUGGAGGGGAAGGAGACACUAAAAUGGAAAGUGUAUUCCCAAAUUAGAAAGUUUAUUCUUUCUCCCACAUUGAUGGAAGAAGAGAACUUGAAAGUAUUUAUAAUCAAGAACACUUACUCCACAUGGCAAGUGAGGCAAGAAAUAAUAGAUGUCUCGCUCCGUCGUCAUCGCUUGGCUUGAAUUUGGAUUUGUCUUUUUAGACAAACUUUAUUUGAAUUACGAAGAAUGCCAAGGAAAAACGCAGUAAAAUUUUUCUGCAGCGUUUCGGACCUCUAUUUAUAUAUACAUGCAGUAACAGUUGCAGCAUUGUUUUCGAAGUGCUUCAGAAAUGAUACAUUGUUCUGAACUGAGGCUACAGAAGGUUGCAAUGGUUCGAAAUGAUGCUUCAGAAGAUGGAAUCGUUCAAUGAAGUGACACACUGAUUCAUGAAAUGAGAUGACUGUUCAGGAAGAGAUGCAAUCUUUGAUGAACAGACAUAAACUUACAGCAAAAGUGUAACCUUUGGAGUGAACCAUUGCCUCUUUUAAGAAGAGGCAUGUUAUGGCUAUAUAGACCUGCUUUCAUCCACAAGUUUUGAUACGAAAUUUCAGAAUAAAAAAUACUCCUCUUGUCUUCAAAAAUUCUAUGUGAUCAUUCAAACUGUUGAGUGUGUUUGACGAGUCCAAAUAUUUGAGGUACCGCUAUAUUUGGAUUGAAGGCCAUUUUAUCCUGAGAGGAAAAAUUCCAUAACCUUGGGUACAGUGAGGGGAAUUGUUUCCUUAAGGAAACUUCGUGAAUUCGGACGACUUGGCCUUAUUCAUUUUUGUUUCAUCUAUUUUUUGGUAAAAAUAAAAUACAUCUCUUGGAAAGGUCAUUUUGAUCUGUGUUGAGGGUAUUUGAUAUACUUUAUUGUGUUCUUGUUUAUACCUGAACUCUAGUUGAAGUUGUUGUUCUGCAUAUACAGAUUCUGCGUACCCGUGGAAGGAAAUAACAUUAACGCCAUUAGUUUUAAAUAAUGAGUUAGACACUCGUAAUCACCUAUAUCACAUAUUUAAAGGGGAGAACAACCCCACAUACAACGACUAAUUCAAAACAACAAAAAAACACAUUCAGGUAUCCUUAAUUCGGCAAAUGGGCUAAAAAUACUUGACGUGUAUCACAAGACAAAUUUUAAUAACAAAUAUUCAUGGAUUCACGUAGACAUGACAAAGAAAUAGAAAAUGAAGGAAGCAAGAGUUAAUAUUACGGAUAUGCAUACAGGAAGCCAAACUAUUACAAAAAUAAUCAUAAGUCACCUGACAUCAAAAAAGACUUUGAAGGACAAACUAUAUAAGGUUUGAGAUUAACCUGGAAAGCAAUCGUAUAAAUAUAAAAAAUAAGUGAAGAUUUGCGGAAGAUGACCAGCAAUAUCAAAAUAAAAUAAGCACACGUCUUCACGUAAACAUAUUCAAACAUAAAAAGAAGAAGAAAUAAGAGUAAUUUUUACAUCCAACGGCCCCAAAUCCGAAUAAGGAGGAAACCAAUUUCAAGUUCGAUUAUUUAGGAGAUAAAAUAUCAUAGAGAGGAUAAUGAUAUAUGUGAAAAGAUAUAUAACUAAAAUUAAGAACAACGAGCAGUAGUCCCAAAAUAAGAUGAAUACAUACACAUAUAUUUACAGACCAUCCAUAUCGCACGCGAAAUAACUUUUCAUAAUAAAAAAUUACAUACACCCGCAAAUUCAAAGGAAGACAACAACGACAACAUGAGUUUCAAAAUGAAACCCACACAUCGACAGAACCAAAAUAGAAGGAGAAGAAACAAAUCAGAAUUUUAUUUCUUAUUCACAAAGUCGACGAAAACAACAACAAAGAAAAAAAGAAUGAAACAAAAUCGCAUAUUUCUCAGCAAAAUAGGAAGGAAAAGAAUGGAGAACUGAAGGUUCAUUCGCCCCAUCAUAAACAACGGACAACAAACCUCCAUAACCAAACUUCAAGCCAAAAUCACAUAUUCACCAACCAAAACCACUUCCCAAAACUAACGACGACGACAUAUACCCUUUUAUCCAGAAUCGACAAUAACAACAACACAAGUUUAACCAAAACUUAAGCAAAAUCGUAUAUUUUCAUAAUCAAGGUAAAGAAAAGAGGUGAAUUUGUACCUUUUCCAGGGCAGCGAACUAGGAAUCCGAGGCGAAGAGCAAUUCUACCACCAACGACGACUCCGAAUUUGAACAACGAAAGCAACGAGAGAGCGGCGGGAGUAAAUCCAAACCAAAAAAAUUGAGUGCGUAGUGAAUCGGAGAGUGAGAUAAAACUUUUAAAAAAUUCAAUUUCUCUAUUAUGUCCUCCCCUAAAGGGGUGAACAAGACCCCCUUUUUAAUAGACAAAAUUGGAUCACCACAGCUUCUUAGACACGCUUCCACCGGUUCCAACAAUUUGAAAAUUUUCAAUUCUUUGAAAAGGCAAAACCUUUUAGAAAUCAGUAAGAUUGAUUGCUGAAAAGAAAUAAAGUAGAAAAAGGGGUCACCACUUUCAGUCUAUUUGAAGGAAAGUGACGGAUUGGAGGCUAUCUAGCUUGAAUCCGUUGGUUUGAAGGGCUAAACAUUCUCAAAACAUGAAGGACCUUGAGCUUUUCCAUCUUUUCCAGAAAAUGCAGAGCCUAGGGCUUUGUUCUGCUUCAACAAGAAGUGAUGGGGAAGGUG